Molecule: ribosomal RNA, 553 nt
Filed under: uncultured freshwater bacterium
Lineage: Bacteria
Description: bacterial SSU rRNA
Rfam family: Bacterial small subunit ribosomal RNA
Source: RNAcentral
AGAGUUUGAUCCUGGCUCAGAAUGAACGCUGGCGGCAGGCCUAACACAUGCAAGUCGAACGGGCACUUCGGUGCUAGUGGCGGACGGGUGAGUAACGCGUGGGAACGUGCCCUUUGGUUCGGAAUAGCCCCGGGAAACUGGGAGUAAUACCGGAUACGCCCUUCGGGGGAAAGAUUUAUCGCCAAAGGAUCGGCCCGCGUUGGAUUAGGUAGUUGGUGGGGUAAUGGCCUACCAAGCCGACGAUCCAUAGCUGGUUUGAGAGGAUGAUCAGCCACACUGGGACUGAGACACGGCCCAGACUCCUACGGGAGGCAGCAGUGGGGAAUCUUAGACAAUGGGGGAAACCCUGAUCUAGCCAUGCCGCGUGAUCGAUGAAGGCCUUAGGGUUGUAAAGAUCUUUCAGUUGGGAAGAUAAUGACGGUACCAACAGAAGAAGCCCCGGCUAACUCCGUGCCAGCAGCCGCGGUAAUACGGAGGGGGCUAGCGUUAUUCGGAAUUACUGGGCGUAAAGCGCACGUAGGCGGAUUGGAAAGACAGAGGUGAAAUGCCAGGG